Molecule: long non-coding RNA, 264 nt
Filed under: Rattus norvegicus (Norway rat)
Lineage: Eukaryota; Metazoa; Chordata; Mammalia; Rodentia; Muridae
Description: long non-coding RNA NONRATT027941
Source: RNAcentral
CUGCUCCCUGCACACACAUCUCGGACGCCAGAGGAAAAAGCCAAAGACCAUCUGGAACCCUGGUGCACUGAAGCUCCCGGAAGGGGCAGCACAGGUCUUCCUGGUUGCUGCCGCUGCAGAGAGCCCGUGGGCAGCACCCCACGAGCGAACUUGAGCCUCGGGACCACAGGUAAGACCAAAUUUUCUGCUGCAAGAAAGCUGCCUGGUGAACUCAAGACACAGGCCCACAGGAACAGCUGAAGACCUGUAGAGAGGAAAAACUAC